RNAcentral lists this ribosomal RNA (467 nucleotides) under uncultured bacterium. RNAcentral's name for it is "partial 16S ribosomal RNA". It matches the Rfam family "Bacterial small subunit ribosomal RNA", at positions 28 to 507 of the family's 1533-position model. The record is from RNAcentral.
GACGAACGCUGGCGGCGUGCUUAACACAUGCAAGUCGAACGACGACGACCUAGCUUGUUCGGUCUGAUUAUUGGCGAACGGGUGAGUAACACGUGUGCAACCUGCCCUUCACUCUGGGAUAACCUCGGGAAAUCGGAGCUAAUAUCGGAUAUCAGCUCCCGUCGCAUGGCGGGCGUUGGAAAGUCUGUCGUUGAAGGAUGGGCUCGCGGCCUAUCAGUUUGUUGGUGAGGUAGUGGCUCACCAAGGCGAUGACGGGUAGCCGGCCUGAGAGGGCGACCGGCCACACUGGUACUAAGAGACGGCCCAGACUGCUACGGGGGGCAGCAGUGGGGAAUAUUGCACAAUGGGCGAGAGCCUGAUACGGCGACGCCGGGUGAGGGAAGACGGCCUUCGGGUUGUAAACCUCUUUCAGCAGGGAAGAAGCGAAAGUGACGGUACCUGCAGAAGAAGCGCCGGCUAACUACGUG